Molecule: long non-coding RNA, 656 nt
Filed under: Homo sapiens (human)
Lineage: Eukaryota; Metazoa; Chordata; Mammalia; Primates; Hominidae
Description: HSALNT0340527
Source: RNAcentral
UUUAAAGAUCAGAUUUAUUUGGAGAAGACAAAAAACCCACAACCCAAAGGAUGGGAUUUUACAUCUCAAGACAUCUCCUAGAAUGUCUCUCUGGCUUCCUCUCCCUCUCAGAGACCCAAUUUGGAACUGAAACCCUGAGUACAGCAAAACUGCAUUUCCCAAGCUCCUCUUCUCUCAAUGGGUCACAUGACUUGUUCUAGCCAAUAGAACGAGGGUGGAAGUAAUGUGACCACUUUCAGGUGUCCCCUAAAGUCUCCUGUGAGAUCUUCCAAUCUUGCUCUCCUCACUCUGCAUGGCUGGAAAUGAAUACUCUGAUAUCUGAAACAACAUGAUGAAGGAGCCAGGAUGCCUAAGUUCACCACUUAGAGAAGAGACAGCUUGAAGAGUCAUUCUGGAGAACUGGCUGACCAAACUCAUUGGAUUGUAACAGAAUAUAAACCUUUUAUUCUGAUAUGCCAGAGGCACAUUAUGGAUUGUAUUACAAUGACUAGCAUUAGCUGUCCUGAUUAAUAGACACUGUGACAAGAUUCUUUAUUGCUAAAAGAAAAAAAAAGCAAUGGCUGAUACCUGAUUAACAGACACUGUGACAAGAUUUUUUAUUGCUAAAAGAAAAAAAAAAAGCAAUGGCUGAUACCAUUUAAAAUAAAACUUACAAU